Molecule: long non-coding RNA, 617 nt
Filed under: Daucus carota (carrot)
Lineage: Eukaryota; Viridiplantae; Streptophyta; Magnoliopsida; Apiales; Apiaceae
Description: long non-coding RNA (DCAR_LNC002049)
Source: RNAcentral
UCCGCAAGAUUCGAAAGAAUUUUAAUUUGUAGUGAGUAUCGUAUUCAACCCCCCCUCCCUUCUACGAUACUUUGGACCUAACAAUUGGCAUCAGAGCGAGGCUGAUUGAUAUACAAAUCAGGAUCCUUAUCGUACGGAAAAUCAAGAACCUAGCUUUUGAUAUUUGAUUAGGGGAAAUGUUCUUCCGGUUUGUGUUGCUGAAUUUGUCCGUAUGCCUAAGCAAGGAUUAUCUGUUGGAUACUGAACUUUGGACCAGGACUUAUAAAUUUAUAUUUUAAAUUUUAAUAAGUUUAUUUUAUAAAUUUGAUUUAAUUUAUUUUAAACUUAUUAAUUGAGUUUAUUAUGAAUUAAUUAAAUUUAUCUUAUAAACUUAAUUAAAUUUACUUUAUAAACUUUACUAAAUUCAUUUAAUAAACCCUUCUACGAUACUUUGGACCUAACAAUUGGCAUCAGAGCGAGGCUGAUUGAUAUACAAAUCAGGAUCCUUAUCGUACGGAAAAUCAAGAACCUAGCUUUUGAUAUUUGAUUAUGGGAAAUGUUCUUCCGGUUUGUGUUGCUGAAUUUGUCCGUAGGCCUAAGCAAGGAUUAUCUGUCGGAUACUGAACUUUGGACCGGGA